AGCUUUAGGUGAUGAAUCUAUUACUUAUUAACAAGAGGUUAUGCUCACUUGUGUAAGUAGAAGGUGUGAAAGCUUUCUUCAUUUUUAAACACUAUGACCUACUAAAGAGGAAUGUAAAAAGAUAAAGACUGCUACAAAUGCCGCAUUUCAUGGAAUGAGGCCAACUGAGAACCACCAGAAGUGCAAAGACAUGAAUUCAUGGGGAGAUGGCAGAAAGAUGACACAGGAGAAACAGACUGUGGAACUGCCUACCCGAGCCUCCUACCUCCCUACAAAGCCACAUUUGGAGCUCCAAGGACACACCACACACAGAAGAUGCGCAGAGGAUUUUGUACAAAUAUGUGAUGGCUUGAAAUCUCCAUUUUUAAAAGGAACUUAAAGACUGUCUUCAGUUACUUGUAAGAGAAUGAACAUAAGCAUCAGCGUCUAGCCUUGUUUUUAUGUUCGUGAGCAUUUUGCCUGCAUGUAUCUCUGUGUACCUUGUGUGUACCUGGUGUCCAUAGAGGCCAGAGGAACUGGAGUUUCCAGAGAUAAAAAUUUUAAAACAUAUUAUUAUAUUUGUAGGUGAAAACUUCUUUGAAUUACAAAAUAAGACUAGAAAAAAAUCCAACCCAUAAUUGCAAACAUAAAGAUGC
Molecule: long non-coding RNA, 635 nt
Filed under: Mus spicilegus (steppe mouse)
Lineage: Eukaryota; Metazoa; Chordata; Mammalia; Rodentia; Muridae
Description: lncRNA (ENSMSIG00000023556.1)
Source: RNAcentral